UUUUUUACUUAUCAUUGGUUUUCAGCAAAUUUUUAUGAUAUGCAUUUGUUAUUAAUAUUUCUAUUACUAUUCUACAUAUAGUUUAUAACAAUUCUUUUUAGUUUAUAACAAUUCUUGAAUUUGCAGCUUCAUCUCUUUCAUGAGAUUUGACAAAUUUUCAACCAUUCGUAUGUUCAAACAUUUCUUCUGCCCCAUUCAUUUCAUACUUGCUUCUAGAACUUUGAUUAUAUGUCUGUUAGACCUUCCCAUGGCAUCUUCUUUGCAUUUAUCUUCUCAUCACAUUUUUCAUCAUUUUGUAUCUCUGUGUUUUAUUCUGGAUGUUUUUUCUCAGAACUUCCUUUCAGUUUGAUAAUUCUUUAUUCAGUUGUGCUUUGUUUUACUCUUAUUUUACUGAGUUUUAAAUAUUUAUUAUAUUUCUCAUAUUAAAAUAUCUUUUGGUUCUUUUUCAAAUUCAUUAUGUCUUCCAUAGUUUCUAGUUCUUUGCCAAAAUUAAAAAUCUUGUCUUUUAUCAUUGUAAAUCUAUUAAGCACAGUUUUCUAAGUCUCUGUCUGGUAACUCCAAUAGCUAGAGUCUUUAUAAUCUUAAUAUUUAUUAUUUCUGCUGGUUCUUAUUUAUGUUAUCUUGUCCCUUUGUGUGCCUAGCUAUUUCUUUUAAAAUUGUGUUUAAAACUAUAUUUGUAAAAUUAGAAUUAAUUUGUGGCCUAUGACAAUCUUCAUUCUCCAGAGAGAAUUUCACUUUGUUUGUUUGUUUGUUUUGUUUUUCUGCCAGUGCCUAAAGGCAACAGCAAUCCAAAAUACCUUGAUCCAAAUUCAGGGACUGAGAUAAAGGUUUUUUUAAAGAAUAGUGUUUCUGAGACAUGAUUUACAUAUCACGAAAUUCAUUUGUUUACUGUGUACAGUUCAAAAGUUUUUGAUAUAUUCAUUGAGCUCUGUAACCUUUACCACAAUCCAAAAUUAGAACAUUCUCAUUAUUCCGAAAAGAAACCUCCUAUCAAUUAGUACUCACUGUCCAUUCCCUACCCAACCCUACACAACUGCUUAUCUACUUUUAGUCUCCAAAGCUUUGCAUUUUCCAGACAUUUCAUACAAAAAGAAUCAUAUAGGGGAGCCUGGAUGGCUCAGUCAGUUAAGCAUCUCUUUGUCUUGGGUUGUGAUUCCAGGGUCCUGGGAUUAAGCCCCACCCAAGGCUCCCUGCUCAGCAACAGAGUCUGCUUCUCCCUCUGCACCCCUGUCUGCACAUUCUCUCUCUCUUUCCUCCUCUCUUUUUCCAAUAAAUAAAUAAAAUAUAAAAAAAGGAAUCAUACAAUAUGUGGCAAUUUAUGACUGAAUUCUUUCAUUUAGCAUAAUGUUCUCAAGGUUCAUCCACAUUGUAGCAUGCACCAGUACUUCAUUCCUUUUUAUUGAAUAAUAUUCUAUUAUAUGUAUAUACAAUUUUGCUUAUCCAUUCAUCAGCUGAUGCACUUUGGAUUAUUUCCACUUUUGAUUAUUAUAAAUACUACUACUAUGAAUAUCUGUAUAGAAGUUUCUAUGUGGAUAUGUUUUUUAAAGAUUUGAGAAAAAGAAUGAGCACAGGUGGGGGAGGGGCAGAGGGUGAUGCAGACUCCACACUGAGUGCAGAGCUCAAUGAAGGGCUCAAUCCCAGGACCCUGAGAUCAUGACCUGAGCUGAAGUCAGAUGCUUAACUGACUGAGCCAUACAGGCACCCCUAGUGGAUCUAUGUUUUUAUUUCUCUAGGGUAUAUGAAUUGCUAGGUCAUAUGGCAACUCUAUGUUUAACAUUUUAAGGAACGGGCAACCUAUUUUCAAGGUGACUGGAUUCUGGGCUAAGGUUUCUUUAAGUGUCAGUCAGUGAAGCUCUCCACCCAUUCAAUCCAAAACCAUGAUAGUUUACUAGGUACCCCUUUUGGUGGGCCCUGGAUUCCAAUUUUUUCAUUCUUAUAUCUGCAACAACAUGUCAUAAGUAUUGCAUAAUCAUAUAGCAUCUCAGCUACCACUUCUAAAAUUAGAAACUGACUUAGUCCACUCAGGCUGU
This 2030-nucleotide long non-coding RNA is filed under the name Canis lupus familiaris (dog). RNAcentral's name for it is "lncRNA (ENSCAFG00000055252.1, ENSCAFG00845004312.1)". Lineage: Eukaryota; Metazoa; Chordata; Mammalia; Carnivora; Canidae. The record is from RNAcentral.